Long non-coding RNA from Anguilla rostrata (American eel), 326 nucleotides. RefSeq lists it as uncharacterized. The transcript is spliced from 2 exons. The record is from RefSeq and is a predicted model, not a curated record. NCBI's taxonomy places the organism in Eukaryota, Metazoa, Chordata, Actinopteri, Anguilliformes, Anguillidae.
AUGCAGAGAUUGGGAAACGGAGUGAAGAAGUCAAUUAUCAAUUUGUUUUAGCUUGAAGGUUAUUACAAUUUCUCAUUUCUUCCACAGGAGCCAGUGGAAAAGCACAGGGACACACUGAGGUGACAGGUUCAUUGAGGAACAAUGCCCCUCCGAAUGAUGGAUUUCAAUGACUUAAGAUGUCAGAAUCCAUUAUAGGAAAUUUGAAUUCGCAAUUAAAGUGGGAGGGGCACUGACAGCAAGGGACAGACUAGAGGUGGAGCCCAUACUACCAACAGGCAUAAUAGUACAUCUGCACAUUAUUUAAUUGCAUAAAGUAAGCAAAUCAA